RNAcentral lists this ribosomal RNA (239 nucleotides) under uncultured bacterium. RNAcentral describes it as "partial 16S ribosomal RNA". It matches the Rfam family "Bacterial small subunit ribosomal RNA", at positions 95 to 334 of the family's 1533-position model. The record is from RNAcentral.
CCGGCGCACGGGUGAGUAACACGUAUCCAACCUGCCGUCUACUCUUGGACAGCCUUCUGAAAGGAAGGUUAAUACAAGAUGGCAUCAUGAGUCCGCAUGUUCACAUGAUUAAAGGUAUUCCGGUAGACGAUGGGGAUGCGUUCCAUUAGAUAGUAGGCGGGGUAACGGCCCACCUAGUCUUCGAUGGAUAGGGGUUCUGAGAGGAAGGUCCCCCACAUUGGAACUGAGACACGGUCCAA